AUUGAACGCUAGCGGCAUGCCUUACACAUGCAAGUCGAACGGCAGCACGGGGCACCCUCGUGUCGAGUGGCGACCGGGUGAGUGAUGUAAAGGCACGUGCCCCGUACCGGGGGAUAUCUACGCAAAAGCGUAGACAAUACCGCAUACCCGCUACGGGGGUAAGGGGCAGAUCGCAAGACUUCACCAUAUUGUUGCUGCCGCUAACGGAUUAGCUCGUUGGUGAGGUACAGGCUCACCAAGGCAUCGAUCCGUAGCUGGCUUGAGAGUAUGACCAGCCACACUGGGACUGAGACACGGCCCAGACUCCUACGGGAGGCAGCAGUAGGGAAUUUUGGACAAUGGGGGCAACCCUGAUGCAGCAAUGCCGCGUGUGCGAUGAAGGCCUUCGGGUUGUAAAGCACUUUUGUCGGGAACGAAACGGUGCCGGAGAAUACCUGGCGCCACUGACGGUACCUGCAGAAUAAGCAACGGCUAACUACGUG
This 482-nucleotide ribosomal RNA is filed under the name uncultured bacterium. RNAcentral's name for it is "partial 16S ribosomal RNA". It matches the Rfam family "Bacterial small subunit ribosomal RNA", at positions 30 to 507 of the family's 1533-position model. The record is from RNAcentral.